This 2242-nucleotide long non-coding RNA is filed under the name Homo sapiens (human). RNAcentral's name for it is "HSALNT0050974". The record is from RNAcentral. Lineage: Eukaryota; Metazoa; Chordata; Mammalia; Primates; Hominidae.
UAGAGACGGGGUUUCACCGUGUUAGCCAGGAUCGUCUGGAUCUCCUGACCUCGUGAUCCACCCGCCUUGGCCUCCCAAAGUGCUAGGAUUACAGGCGUGGGACACCGUGCCCAGCCCAGGUCCUUGUGCCCUUCGAGGGUGCAGACGGUGGUCUCUGCAUCUCCUUUGCUCCACGUGCCAGGCACAGGUGCCUGGGAACUACAGAAGAGGUUGAAUAGAAGGCUUAACAAUGAGUUUGGAAGUCAGGCACAGAGGGUUUGACUUCCGGGGGCACCCCUUGCCAGCUGUAUGACCCUGGCAAGUCACUCUUCCUUUCUGCGCCUUGGUCCCUGCAUCUAUAAAUUGCUGUAAGGAUGAAAUUACAUAAUUAUAGGUAACAAGAGGAUUCAGAAUCUGAGAGAUACUGCUUAAAAGGAAAAUGUCCUGGAGGGAUGCCAAACUGCACUCUCAAAGGUUUCGGCUGGAUGUGUGAUAUUGAUGGGGAAACCCAUUUCAGUGUCUCUAAGAAGGGGGUAGUGCUCCUCUUUCCAGGAUGUCUCUGGGGAAUCUAGAGCACCCCAAAGUGUGGUAUGCAUAGAAACAUUGCUGCUUAAGGUCUGAAUAUUUGUUCCUCAUCAAUUCAUGUGUUGAAAUUCUAACCUCUCCUGAAUGGGAUUAGUGCUCUUACACGAGAGGCCUGACAGAGACUCCUCACCCUUCCCACCAUGCGAAGACACAGUGAGAAGGCUCAGUCUAUGAACCAAAAUGUUGACUGUCACCAUUUACUCAAUCUGCUGUCGCCUUGAGCUUGGACUUCCCAGCCUCCAGAACUGUGAGAAAUAAAUUUCUGUUGCUUAUAAGACAACCAGUUUAUGACAUUUCGUUAUAGCAGCCUGAAUGGACUAAGACACCCUUCCCACCAUGUGAAGACAGAGUGAGAAGGUUCGGUCUAUGAACCAAAAACUGACCCUCACCAGUCAUUGAAUCUGCUGGUGCCUUGAUCUUGGACUUCCCAGCCUCCAGAACUGUGAGAAAUAAAUUUCUGUCGUUUAUAAGCCACCUAGUUUAUGAUACUUUGUUAUAGCAGCCUGAAUGGACUGAGACACCCACCUUAAAAAGACAGUACCUCAAAACCAUAAGGCAGGAUAACUGCUAGCCUGAUAUUAAUAGUUUUUAAUUUACUGCUAGCUUCAUUUUGCCAACUGAGUCAGAUAUUUUUUAAAAGUUCUGUUUGCAAUUAUUUUAACUUAGGAGAGGAGAAAAAGAGCAGGCAUCAGCCUGCAUAUGGGAUAUUUCUGAAAGGAUUUUGCUAUGAUUAGCUUGCCCUCAGGGAGAGUAAAAUGUGAGUUAUACAACCAUGCUUAUAUUUAGAUGUUGUUGAUGUUCUGGCUUAUAAUAUAUGAUGAGUUAGAAAUAAUUUUGUACUGAUCAGCCCAACCAGAAAAUAAACAUGCUUUAACUUGUAUUUAUUACUAAACUUGGUCUCCUAAAACAUGAUAAAGCAGUUGAGUCUAUAAUGACUGAGCCAUAGCUUCUCUGACUGACUCUAAGAGGGAAUGACGUUAAUAAGAGAUUAGCCCAUACCUCUAAUAGCCCUGGGAGAGAUGAACCCAAGACGGCAAGGCCCAGCUCUGAUGGAUGAAGGGACAGAGAACUAUAAGAAGACUGGGUUCCAUCUAGGAUGGGUGGCCUGUUGAGUGCCCAUCUUAUCUGCUUAGAUGAUGAUACUUGGAGACCUGACUCAAUUGUUGUGAAUGGUCUUUGUAAAAUUUUAUUUUAGAGACAGGGUCUUGCUAUGUUGCCCAGGCUGGUCUCAAACACCUGGGCUCAAGUGAUCCUCCUGCCUCAGCCUCCUGAGUAGCUGGAACUGCAAGUGAUUACUCUUAUUGAACAAACAAACAAAAACAAGUGCCUGUGACCUAAUAGAGAUGCAUGCAUAUGUUCACCAAAAGAUCUAGAAUGUCCACAACAGCCCUAUUUAUCAUCACCCCAAAUGGGGCACCCUGCACCUACCUCAACAGUAGAUGCAUACAUUUCUGUGUAUUUACACUGUGGAAUAUGACACAGCAAUGACAAUGAAUGAACUACAGCUAUACACAACAACAUGGAUGGCUAUCACAAACAUAAGGUAGAGCUAAAAGCGAAAAAAACCAGCAUAAAAGUGGGCAAAAGCCAUCUAUGUUGUUAAAAAUCAGGAUAGUGGCUGCCCUGGAAGGGGGCAUGAGGAGGCUUCAAGGUGCUUGUCAUGUUCUCUUUCUUCACU